Rhagoletis zephyria (snowberry fruit fly) is the source of this 592-nucleotide long non-coding RNA. RefSeq lists it as uncharacterized. The record is from RefSeq and is a predicted model, not a curated record. Lineage: Eukaryota; Metazoa; Arthropoda; Insecta; Diptera; Tephritidae.
GUUCUACACGUGCGGUUUCUCGCAUACGUCGUCACGCGAGCGAGAUUUUCCAGCACGUGAAAACGGCCGGUAUGAAAGGCUUUAAUUUCAUGCAACCCUGUUUGCUCCUUAAACGAACACGCCCCAGACGAAGAAAUGAAUACGGCGAAUAGGUGCCAAAAAUACGGCGAUUAAUUCAAAAUGACGCAUGCGUUGCAAAUUUUUUACUUGCCAAAAAAUUGAUGAGCGAAUCGGAGGUGCAGGCAAACGAAGAAAAAGGCGACUUGGGAAUUGUGGAUAGUAAUUUGGUAAUAUACGAGAAAGGAUCGUGAAAGAAAAAUACCUGGAAACGACGCCGAGUUCAAAAACAGGCAAGUGGAAGAAGCAGAGCCCCAAAGAAGCAGAAGAAAAAAAGCAAGCAGAAGAAGCAGCAUUAUUGGCAGGGGCAGAAGCGCAUUAGUAGCCCUUGAAGAAAAAAACGGGGAAAAAUCAAAGAUAUAUUUCAAUUGUCGAAGGCGGAGGUGUAAAGUGAUCGAAAGAAACAAAAUUUAUACAAAUAAAAGCAUACUCAUAUUUCAUUGGAUAAUUUGACGCAUCGUUCGUACAAAAGUAG